RNAcentral lists this ribosomal RNA (846 nucleotides) under Mycoplasma sp. RNAcentral describes it as "partial 23S ribosomal RNA". It matches the Rfam family "Bacterial large subunit ribosomal RNA", at positions 101 to 954 of the family's 2925-position model. Lineage: Bacteria; Bacillati; Mycoplasmatota; Mollicutes; Mycoplasmatales; Mycoplasmataceae. The record is from RNAcentral.
GAUCCGCGAAUAUCCUAAUGGGGCAACCCGUUAUACUGAAGGUAUAACAUCCGACUAUGUCGGAGGCAAACCCGGUGAACUGAAACAUCUAAGUAACCGGAGGAGAAGAAAACAAAAGUGAUUCCCCAAGUAGUGGCGAGCGAACGGGGAUUAGCCCAAACCAUAACUGUUUCGGCAUUUAUGGGGUUGUAGGACUACGAUAUGAGAUUAUGCGUGAAGUGGAACACUUUGGAAAGAGUGGCAAUAUAGGGUGACAGCCCCGUACACGAAAGCAAGUAAAAUCUAGUAGUAUCCUGAGUAAGGCGGGACACGAGAAAUCCUGUUUGAAUCAGCCGGGACCAUCCGGUAAGGCUAAAUACUCCUGAGAGACCGAUAGUGAACCAGUACCGUGAGGGAAAGGUGAAAAGUACCCCGAACAGGGGAGUGAAAUAGUACCUGAAACCAUACGCUUACAAACGGUUGGAGUCUGCCUUCGGGCGGAUGACAGCGUGCCUUUUGCAUAAUGAGCCUACGAGUUACCCUAUCUAGCGAGGUUAAGCACUUCAGGUGCGAAGCCCAAGCGAAAGCGAGUCUGAACAGGGCGAACAAGUUAGGUGGGGUAGACGCGAAACCCGGUGAUCUACCCAUGGUCAGGAUGAAGCCCCGGUAAUACGGGGUGGAGGUCCGAACUGAUAUACGUUGAAAAGUGUUCAGAUGAACUGUGGGUAGGGGUGAAAGGCCAAUCAAACCGGGAAAUAGCUCGUACUCCCCGAAAUGCAUUUAGGUGCAGCCUCGGUUAUGAGUCUUAUAGAGGUAGAGCUACUGAUAGGGCUAGAGGGCUUCACCGCCUAUCAACCCCUGAUAAAC